Small nuclear RNA from Dendrobium catenatum, 197 nucleotides. RefSeq annotates it as U2 spliceosomal RNA. The transcript has a single exon. NCBI's taxonomy places the organism in Eukaryota, Viridiplantae, Streptophyta, Magnoliopsida, Asparagales, Orchidaceae. The record is from RefSeq and is a predicted model, not a curated record.
AUACCUUUCUCGGCCUUUUGGCUAAGAUCAAGUGUAGUAUCUGUUCUUAUCAGUUUAAUAUCUGAUACGUGGGCUAUAAGUCCACUAUGAUAUUAAAUUAAUUUUUGUUGGGGAAGGGCCCAUCACAGUAGCUUGCUGCUGGGGCUCUUGAGCGUCGCUCUUGCGUUGCACUAUUGCAUGAGCUUGGCGCACCCCUA